CACCCAACUGAGCUUCAACACUUCUUAGAAACAGAUUUGGUAUACUAAGCUUGAGCUUACCAUUACAGUGUUUUAUGCAUGAAAGUGCCAAGUCAGAGAAAACAUGAGUAGAGAAUGGGGAAGGAGAGAGACGGAAAAGAAGCCGUUGCACGAGUUUUAACUGAUGAGAAGCACAUUGUCAGGUUCUGCCCUGGGGAAUCCCACUCUGGCUAUGUCUGCAGGGAUGGUAGAUGAAGAACACAGAACAAGGAUCAUAGAAGAUAAGGAGCCACAAAGGUUCACUCUGUUUUCAAAGGUGCAGUCAAAAUGUUACACUUCUAAACUGUGGCAACGAGACACACCCUGAAGAAAGAGAGCGUUACACCUUCACAAGAAAACAGAGAAACCAAGAUACCUUGUGAUGUCUUGUACAUACCAAGAAAAAUAUGUCCUAACCUUGAAAGCCCAUUUUGGGUGUGAGUGGAACCACAUCAUUACAAAACCAAAAAGCUGUAUCUUUCUCAUCCACUAUACCCCUUCUUUUCCAAAUGGACACCUGAGACUUUGAGCUACUUCAUACAACAGAGUUUCACACUGGGACCUCCCACGUCUACCUGCAUUUCAGGCCCGAAUCUUUCCUGGCAUCAGAUUUAUCAUCAAGAACCUUUCUGUGGUUCAUUUCUUGGGGCACAAUUCUCUCGUGAUGGGGACUAAUCCCGUCAAAUCAUCCAUUUUUGUU
Molecule: long non-coding RNA, 718 nt
Filed under: Homo sapiens (human)
Lineage: Eukaryota; Metazoa; Chordata; Mammalia; Primates; Hominidae
Description: HSALNT0183202
Source: RNAcentral